CUUGUCAGCAACGCGGACAAAUCAGUAGUAGCGGAACGCGUACGUGAAUGAAGCGGAGCGAGGGGAGUGAGGCGGUUGGCCGUCCGAGUGUGAACGCCGUCGAGUGUUAUCUAAACAGUUACACAAUGGGGUCGCGACGAACCGGAGCCCAGCCCGGCAACACAGGGCGCGAGGCUGGAGGAGGAGGGGUCACACCCAGGAUGGGACACCAGUCCAUCGCAAGGCACCCCAUGCAGGACUUGAACCCCAGACCCACCGCACCACCGCACCUCCUUGCAAAACACAUCCACCAUUAAUUCUGUGUAUGGGGAACAUGGUUCUAGCUUGUUCUAGCUCACUAAGAAUGUUCUCCAUCAGUGCCCUCAAAGACACAGAAAUAGACUCAAGCCCAGAUAUUCUUCAGUCCACCUCCACAUAUCCAUAUCCUGUCCCCCCCCACAAACACCUACCAGCCCACAAAAACUCCUCUCUUGUGGAGUUAUGGGUGAACAGUGCUUUCUGAGAAUAGCAAGCACAUCAUUCUUGACAGAACUGAGUCAGAAAAAGCACAAAGGAGAAAAAAAAUCUUUUCUGGUUACAUUGCAUUCACACCAGUCCACACCAAACCCACAUUUAUCACCCACAUAUCAGCAUGAAAGCACUAACAAGCUGUGAAGAGUUUCUCAGCUUUUUCCUAUUUAAAAGUAAUCGUGUGACUGUAGAAAAGCUAGCACAAACUCAAACUAGGUUUUAGGUUUUUGCUAGAAGACAAAAGAAAUGAAAGCACUUAAAUUUUCUUGUAGCCUUUGUGAUGCUACUUGGGAUACAUAUACAGUGCUGUAGUAAUAGCAUCUGAGCCCUUUCCAAGUGUUUCUUUUUUUUGCAAUUAGACAUUUUUUUGUCCUUUCUAGCAAUGUAUGAAUGGAGCAUGACACAGAAAAGGUGACACCACUCUUUUUUUUAUGUCAUUUCCUUGGUGUGGAAGAAAAUUAAAUGUACAGUCAUAUGUGUGAAAAAGUAUUUCCCUCCUCACGGUAAAUAAAUAGUUGCACCACAUUUAACUGAAAUGCCUA
This 1052-nucleotide long non-coding RNA is filed under the name Scleropages formosus (Asian bonytongue). RNAcentral describes it as "lncRNA (ENSSFOG00015031992.1)". The record is from RNAcentral. Lineage: Eukaryota; Metazoa; Chordata; Actinopteri; Osteoglossiformes; Osteoglossidae.